Molecule: ribosomal RNA, 465 nt
Filed under: Vreelandella stevensii
Lineage: Bacteria; Pseudomonadati; Pseudomonadota; Gammaproteobacteria; Oceanospirillales; Halomonadaceae
Description: partial 16S ribosomal RNA
Rfam family: Bacterial small subunit ribosomal RNA
Source: RNAcentral
CCUACGGGUGGCUGCAGUGGGGAAAAUUGGACAAUGGGCGAAAGCCUGAUCCAGCCAUGCCGCGUGUGUGAAGAAGGCCUUCGGGUUGUAAAGCACUUUCAGUGGGGAAGAAAGCCUUGGGGCUAAUACCCUCGAGGAAGGACAUCACCCACAGAAGAAGCACCGGCUAACUCCGUGCCAGCAGCCGCGGUAAUACGGAGGGUGCGAGCGUUAAUCGGAAUUACUGGGCGUAAAGCGCGCGUAGGCGGUCUGAUAAGCCGGUUGUGAAAGCCCCGGGCUCAACCUGGGAACGGCAUCCGGAACUGUCAGGCUAGAGUGCAGGAGAGGAAGGUAGAAUUCCCGGUGUAGCAGUGAAAUGCGUAGAGAUCGGGAGGAAUACCAGUGGCGAAGGCGGCCUUCUGGACUGACACUGACGCUGAGGUGCGAAAGCGUGGGUAGCAAACAGGAUUAGAUACCCCGGUAGUC